This 67-nucleotide transfer RNA is filed under the name Hoplistodera incisa. Its description in RNAcentral is "tRNA-Asp". It matches the Rfam family "tRNA". Rfam says of the family: Transfer RNA (tRNA) molecules are approximately 80 nucleotides in length. Their secondary structure includes four short double-helical elements and three loops (D, anti-codon, and T loops). The record is from RNAcentral. Lineage: Eukaryota; Metazoa; Arthropoda; Insecta; Hemiptera; Pentatomidae.
AAGAAUUUAGUUUAAAUAAAACAUUAACUUGUCAAGUUAAAAUUACUUAAUUUAAUAGUAAUUCUUA